Molecule: ribosomal RNA, 495 nt
Filed under: uncultured bacterium
Lineage: Bacteria
Description: partial 16S ribosomal RNA
Rfam family: Bacterial small subunit ribosomal RNA
Source: RNAcentral
GACGAACGCUGGCGGCGUGCCUAAUACAUGCAAGUAGAACGCUGAAGGAGGAGCUUGCUUCUCUGGAUGAGUUGCGAACGGGUGAGUAACGCGUAGGUAACCUGCCUGGUAGCGGGGGAUAACUAUUGGAAACGAUAGCUAAUACCGCAUAAGAGUAGAUGUUGCAUGACAUUUGCUUAAAAGGUGCACUUGCAUCACUACCAGAUGGACCUGCGUUGUAUUAGCUAGUUGGUGGGGUAACGGCUCACCAAGGCGACGAUACAUAGCCGACCUGAGAGGGUGAUCGGCCACACUGGGACUGAGACACGGCCCAGACUCCUACGGGAGGCAGCAGUAGGGAAUCUUCGGCAAUGGACGGAAGUCUGACCGAGCAACGCCGCGUGAGUGAAGAAGGUUUUCGGAUCGGAAAGCUCUGUUGUAAGAGAAGAACGAGGGUGAGAGUGGAAAGUUCACACUGUGACGGUAUCUUACCAGAAAGGGACGGCUAACUACGUG